CCUGCCGAGGGGCGCUGCAAACCCGGCCAUCGCAUGGCAAGGGAACAGGCUCGGUACGGAGUGCAACUGCAACGGCGCCCGGAAUUU
RNAcentral lists this non-coding RNA (87 nucleotides) under Arenimonas oryziterrae. RNAcentral's name for it is "SAH sequence". It matches the Rfam family "SAH (S-adenosyl-L-homocysteine) riboswitch aptamer". Lineage: Bacteria; Pseudomonadati; Pseudomonadota; Gammaproteobacteria; Lysobacterales; Lysobacteraceae. RNAcentral also lists the same sequence under 1 other name. The record is from RNAcentral.